UUGAGAUUGAGCGCUUGUUAACCUAGCCGUCCCUGUCAAAUAUGAUGGUCUUCACUCUUCAGUCUUCACCCUCAAACCCUCUCCUCUCACGGACUCACUGUCUCACCAUUCCAUACUGCCGACUGCCACUGCCACCUCUCACCCCCUCAGUCCCUCACCGCCACCUCUCACGGACUCUCGACGUCACCGUCACGCUCACCGCAGCAAGGACUCGUCGCGCCCUUGAGUCCUCGCCGUCUUCCAAUGUUCGCCAUCUUCGCUGUCUUCGUAUCGGAGCGUCAUCGCCUCUUCGCCGGUCAUCUGCUCUUUCGUCGGAUUGAGGAGCAGCAAAAGAAAGCCUUAGAAGAAGAUCCAACUGUAUUUGAUUAUGAUGGAGUCUAUGACAAAAUAAAAGAGAAAGUUGCCCGCCCAUUGAUACUAGAUCGCGAAGAGAGAAAAGUAUGGUUACAAAGAAGGACUUUUUGCUUGAUUUUUAUACAAUCCUUGAUAAAAAUGUUGCAUAUUGUGCACAAGAUCCUCGAGGGAGAAAACAUGAGAAUCGAGUUGAGAAAAGAACUGCAGAGACAUGCGAAAGUGGAAGUCAAGGUAAUCGAUGACAGGGAAAGUGGAAGAUCAAGAGGCUUUGGAUUUGUGACUUACAGCAGCCUUGAAGAGGUCAACAGUGCUAUUGAGUCCUUAGAUGGCGCGGUAAUCAUGCGAAUCUACUCCUAGUAUCCCGUUUGCUAAUCACAAAUAACAAUUUAAUGAGUUUGAACUUGUCCAUUUGUAUAUGUUACAUCAUAUCAUUGUUUGAUUAUUUUGUAUUAGUUAUUUGUUUUUUUGUUCUUGAAAACAUAUGAAAAAGCUAAUAUUUCUGCAUUUUCUUAUUGCGACAUGUAUAUACUUUUUCUCUGUUGUUCUAUGGAAUCAUGAGCUUCCCCUGACUUAUGAUUUCCACAAUUAUAUGCUUCAAAGCAUGGAUGAUGAAUUUCGUGAUAUUGUUGGUGUUAGGUCGGUGGAACUGAAAGUCGGUGGAACUGGUGGACAUGUUCUUUAUGCAGUGGAUAUGCCAAGUCUUAGGUGUUGUUUAUAUUUUUCAUUUUUUUUUUAUUUUCAAUGUGCAAUGAGGAAUUGAGAUGUGUAAUGUAUAAUGAAUUUAUAGAAGCAAGAUCACAUUUGUACAGCCAUAUUGAAACAUCUCUAAAGAAGUGAGUGAAUAUGUAUUUUUAUGAUAUUUUAA
Arachis ipaensis is the source of this 1219-nucleotide non-coding RNA. NCBI's taxonomy places the organism in Eukaryota, Viridiplantae, Streptophyta, Magnoliopsida, Fabales, Fabaceae. The record is from RefSeq and is a predicted model, not a curated record.